UACGGAAGGCAGCAGUGGGGAAUAUUGCACAAUGGGCGAAAGCCUGAUGCAGCUAUGCCGCGUGUAUGAAGAAGGCCUUAGGGUUGUAAAGUACUUUCAUCGGGGAAGGAAAAACAAAACUAAUAAUUUUAUUUCUUGACGUUACCCGAAAAAGAAGCACCGGCUAACUCCGUGCCAGCAGCCGCGGUAAUACGGAGGGUGCUAGCGUUAAUCAGAAUUACUGGGCGUAAAGAGCACGUAGGUGGUUUUUUUAAGUCAGAUGUGAAUCCCUGGGCUUAACCUAGGAACUGCAUUUUGAAACUGAAAUACUAGAGUAUCGUAGAGGGAGGUAGAAUUCUAGGUGUAGCGGUGAAAUGCGUAGAUAUCUGGAGGAAUACCUGUGGCGAAAGCGGCCUCCUAAACGAAUACUGACACUGAGGUGCGAAAGCGUGGGGAGCAAACAGGGAUUAGAUACC
This 455-nucleotide ribosomal RNA is filed under the name uncultured bacterium. Its description in RNAcentral is "bacterial SSU rRNA". It matches the Rfam family "Bacterial small subunit ribosomal RNA", at positions 340 to 786 of the family's 1533-position model. The record is from RNAcentral.